Nothoprocta perdicaria is the source of this 1084-nucleotide long non-coding RNA. RefSeq lists it as uncharacterized. The record is from RefSeq and is a predicted model, not a curated record. The transcript has 3 exons. Lineage: Eukaryota; Metazoa; Chordata; Aves; Tinamiformes; Tinamidae.
GGUCGCUGCCGCCUGAGGGGCGGCGAGGGCUCGUCCUUCCCGGCACGUCCCUUCCAGGGGUAUGGGACGUACAGACUGCUCUGGAAGAGUGGAGUUCUGGUGUAGGAAGAAGCAAGGAAUCUGUAGAGGUUUCUGUGGAAAGAAGGAAAGUUGCCUCUCUCGCUUGUUGUGAGGAAGAGUGUGGUGAAGAGACAAAAUGAAAAGGUGGAGUCUGGAAGUAAUGCCACCACCUGCUUUGUCAUCGCAAAGAAGAAUUAAUUUACGAAUUCUUAGAACACUGACUGAGGAGGAGGGUGCCCCACCCUGUCUAUACUGGAUAAAGAGAUAGAAUCAAUGCAUGCUGUGCACAAUGGAUUUUAACUCCACAAAAAACAUCUGCGUGAAGUCAGAGUUUAAAACUCUUAUUUAUGCAGAAGACUAUUUUGAGUGCUGUGAAUGGGAAAACAGUUCAAUGAAAAGGAAGUCUCACUGUCACAUGUGUAACUACUGUUGAUACCAUUUCAAAUAUAGCGCUGAGAAUAAAGAAUCCAAUCUGAGAUUGUUCUAUGUCUGUUUUAUCCUCUAGUACAAUUUGAAUCUUCAGAUAGUGAGUAAUUUGACAAGCUCUGUAAAUUGUAGUAUCUAGAGAUGGUGAAAUGAAUAGCAAGUGUCAGCCUUAAUUAUGAAUUUUCCUGCCUUUUUGAAGAUUUUUUUUUUUUGUGAUUUUUGUGUGAUCGCUGCUACUCUUACAGAUGUAAUGGAAACUAUAUACAUUAGAUAGGCAUAAGCAGUGAGUAAAAGGGGACUUACCAUAAUUUGUAAUUCUCUCAUUCAAGUUCUUUGAAGGCAUUUUUGUCAAAACAGUAGAAAUCUCAAGAUUGAUUGCAUCUGAACUGAUGUACUUUGUAUGUUGAUUACAAUCAACAGAGUUUGUGCGUCUCUGGAGGCGCAUGGAACCUGCUGAAAAUGAUUUAAUAUGAACCAUUUUUCUCAGCAAAUGUAUACUUGAGCUCUGUUGAGCUGUUUCUUUGUUUGAAGAAUGGCAUUGUUAGUGUUUUACCAUAUGGGGCAUGUUAUCUUCAGAGAAUGAAGUGCUUUUAGGAUU